GUUGUCGUUUGUUUAUGUGUUACAUAUUUGUUUUUCGUUCAUUUCUUUUACAUAAAUAAGGCCGUUAGUUUUCUCGUUUGAAUUUUUUUACCUUGUCUUAUCGGGGCCUUUUAUAGCUGACUAUGCGGUAUGGGCUUUGCUCAUUGUUAAGGCCGUACGGUGACCUAUAGUUGUUAAUGUCUGUGUCAUUUUGGUCUUUUGUGGACAGUUGUCU
Molecule: long non-coding RNA, 214 nt
Filed under: Mytilus galloprovincialis (Mediterranean mussel)
Lineage: Eukaryota; Metazoa; Mollusca; Bivalvia; Mytilida; Mytilidae
Source: RNAcentral